UUGAACGCUGGCGGCAUGCCUUACACAUGGCAAGUCGAACGGCAGCACGGGAGCAAUCCUGGUGGCGAGUGGCGAACGGGUGAGUAAUAUAUCGGAACGUGCCCAGUCGUGGGGGAUAACGUAGCGAAAGCUACGCUAAUACCGCAUACGAUCUAUGGAUGAAANCGGGGAUCGCAAGACCUCGCGCGAUUGGAGCGGCCGAUAUCAGAUUAGGUAGUUGGUGAGGUAAAGGCUCACCAAGCCGACGAUCUGUAGCUGGUCUGAGAGGACGACCAGCCACACUGGGACUGAGACACGGCCCAGACUCCUACGGGAGGCAGCAGUGGGGAAUUUUGGACAAUGGGCGCAAGCCUGAUCCAGCAAUGCCGCGUGCAGGAUGAAGGCCUUCGGGUUGUAAACUGCUUUUGUACGGAACGAAACGGUGAGCUCUAAUACAGUUUGCUAAUGACGGUACCGUAAGAAUAAGCACCGGCUAACUACGUG
Molecule: ribosomal RNA, 483 nt
Filed under: uncultured bacterium
Lineage: Bacteria
Description: bacterial SSU rRNA
Rfam family: Bacterial small subunit ribosomal RNA
Source: RNAcentral